UACGUAGGGGGCAAGCGUUGUCCGGAUUUAUUGGGCGUAAAGAGCGUGUAGGCGGUCUGGUAGGUCCGUUGUGAAAACUCGAGGCUCAACCUCGAGACGCCGAUGGAAACCAUCAGACUAGAGUCCGGAAGAGGAGAGUGGAAUUCCUGGUGUAGCGGUGAAAUGCGCAGAUAUCAGGAAGAACACCCGUGGCUAAGGCGGCUCUCUAGUACGGUACUGACGCUGAGACGCGAAAGCGUGGGGAGCGAACAGGG
This 254-nucleotide ribosomal RNA is filed under the name uncultured bacterium. RNAcentral describes it as "partial 16S ribosomal RNA". It matches the Rfam family "Bacterial small subunit ribosomal RNA", at positions 524 to 777 of the family's 1533-position model. The record is from RNAcentral.